RNAcentral lists this ribosomal RNA (496 nucleotides) under uncultured bacterium. Its description in RNAcentral is "partial 16S ribosomal RNA". It matches the Rfam family "Bacterial small subunit ribosomal RNA", at positions 30 to 507 of the family's 1533-position model. The record is from RNAcentral.
CGACCGCUGGCGGCGUGCCUAAUACAUGCAAGUCGCACGAGAGCGACCGGUGCUUGCACUGGUCAAUCUAGUGGCGAACGGGUGAGUAACACGUGGGUAACCUGCCCAUCAGAGGGGGAUAACAUCCGGAAACGGAUGCUAAAACCGCAUAGGUCUUCGAGCCGCAUGGCUUGAAGAGGAAAAGAGGCGCAAGCUUCUGCUGAUGGAUGGACCCGCGGUGCAUUAGCUAGUUGGUGAGGUAACGGCUCACCAAGGCCGUGAUGCAUAGCCGACCUGAGAGGGUGAUCGGCCACAUUGGGACUGAGACACGGCCCAAACUCCUACGGGAGGCAGCAGUAGGGAAUCUUCCGCAAUGGACGCAAGUCUGACGGAGCAACGCCGCGUGAGUGAAGAAGGUUUUCGGAUCGUAAAACUCUGUUGUUAGAGAAGAACAAGUGCUAGAGUAACUGUUAGCGCCUUGACGGUAUCUAACCAGAAAGCCACGGCUAACUACGUG